Molecule: ribosomal RNA, 200 nt
Filed under: uncultured organism
Description: partial small subunit ribosomal RNA
Rfam family: Bacterial small subunit ribosomal RNA
Source: RNAcentral
GUCAAGUCAUCAUGGCCCUUACGCCCAGGGCUACACACGUGCUACAAUGGCGCUUACAAAGUGUUGCGAGCAGGUGACUGUGAGCCAAUCACAAAAAGAGCGUCUCAGUUCGGAUUGCAGGCUGCAACUCGCCUGCAUGAAGGCGGAGUCGCUAGUAAUCGCAGAUCAGCAACGCUGCGGUGAAUACGUUCCCGGGCCUU